GAUGAACGCUGGCGGCGUGCCUAAUACAUGCAAGUCGAGCGAACGGACGAGAAGCUUGCUUCUCUGAUGUUAGCGGCGGACGGGUGAGUAACACGUGGAUAACCUACCUAUAAGACUGGGAUAACUUCGGGAAACCGGAGCUAAUACCGGAUGAUAUUUUGAACCGCAUGGUUCAAAAGUGAAAGACGGUCUUGCUGUCACUUAUAGAUGGAUCCGCGCUGCAUUAGCUAGUUGGUAAGGUAACGGCUUACCAAGGCAACGAUGCAUAGCCGACCUGAGAGGGUGAUCGGCCACACUGGAACUGAGACACGGUCCAGACUCCUACGGGAGGCCGCCGUAGGGAAUCUUCCGCAAUGGGCGAAAGCCUGACGGAGCAACGCCGCGUGAGUGAUGAAGGUCUUCGGAUCGUAAAACUCUGUUAUUAGGGAAGAACAUCUGUGUAAGUAACUGUGCACAUCUUGACGGUACCUAAUCAGAAAGCCACGGCUAACUACGUG
Molecule: ribosomal RNA, 497 nt
Filed under: uncultured bacterium
Lineage: Bacteria
Description: partial 16S ribosomal RNA
Rfam family: Bacterial small subunit ribosomal RNA
Source: RNAcentral